Molecule: long non-coding RNA, 741 nt
Organism: Zingiber officinale
Lineage: Eukaryota; Viridiplantae; Streptophyta; Magnoliopsida; Zingiberales; Zingiberaceae
Exons: 3
Source: RefSeq, a predicted model, not a curated record
UUCCCGAUCCCUUCUCCCCUCACCAAUCUCGCGCCGAACUCCCUCUUCCGCAAGCACCUCAGCACGAGAUAGCCGCCUAUCCUCAGCGUGAGAUCGCGCCACCGUCCCCUUCCUCUUUCUCCCUCACCCGAACGACAACGGGCGAUCUUCUUCUCCACACGCGAGCCCUCCAGCGCCGGCGAUCGCUCCCUCACUCGAGCCAGAUAGCCAGCGAUCAUUGCAACCGGCGACCUCCCUUCCUCACGCGCGAGCACCGCAGCAGCCGGCGAUCGGCUUCCUUCCCUCGCACGAGCAUCCCUGGACACCGUCGGCUUCUCCUCACGCGGCCACCAUAGUCGCAACAGUAUUCGACCUCAUCGCCUCCACUCGUGGGUUGACCUUCGUCCAAGAGGGGGAAAGCCUGAACCCUAGCUUCGAUUCCUCGUCACCAUCCCUACGGGUUCCAACUGGAGAGGGCGCUGUGGACACUGAGAUUGGCGAUUGCAAUGUAGCUUUGGUAAUGAAUCCUCAGCAACAACUUCUUCGGUGGUGGAUCAACAGUGAUACAUCCGGAUUUAGGACACUGCUAUGAGCCAAGUGUUCCGAAGUGGAGACAACCUAGCGCGAUCGACAAAUAAAGGCGAGUACUUCUUGCUUUGUCUCUUUUAGUACUUUGACCUUAGUGCAUGAAUUAUUUUGGAUAAGGACUGUUUACCUUGACUCCACUCUUAUUUGUUAGGACCUUCGGAUGCGACUAGAGAG